RNAcentral lists this ribosomal RNA (465 nucleotides) under Vreelandella stevensii. RNAcentral describes it as "partial 16S ribosomal RNA". It matches the Rfam family "Bacterial small subunit ribosomal RNA", at positions 338 to 795 of the family's 1533-position model. Lineage: Bacteria; Pseudomonadati; Pseudomonadota; Gammaproteobacteria; Oceanospirillales; Halomonadaceae. The record is from RNAcentral.
CCUACGGGUGGCAGCAGUGGGGAAUAUUGGACAAUGGGGGGAACCCUGAUCCAGCCAUGCCGCGUGUGUGAAGAAGGCCCUCGGGUUGUAAAGCACUUUCAGUGAGGAAGAACGCCUGGUGGUUAAUACCCAUCAGGAAAGACAUCACUCACAGAAGAAGCACCGGCUAACUCCGUGCCAGCAGCCGCGGUAAUACGGAGGGUGCGAGCGUUAAUCGGAAUUACUGGGCGUAAAGCGCGCGUAGGUGGCUUGAUAAGCCGGUUGUGAAAGCCCCGGGCUCAACCUGGGAACGGCAUCCGGAACUGUCAAGCUAGAGUGCAGGAGAGGAAGGUAGAAUUCCCGGUGUAGCGGUGAAAUGCGUAGAGAUCGGGAGGAAUACCAGUGGCGAAGGCGGCCUUCUGGACUGACACUGACACUGAGGUACGAAAGCGUGGGUAGCAAACAGGAUUAGAUACCCUAGUAGUC